GACGAACGCUGGCGGCGUGCUUAACACAUGCAAGUCGAACGGAAAGGCCCUGCUUUUGUGGGGUGCUCGAGUGGCGAACGGGUGAGUAACCCGUGAGUAACCUGCCCUUGACUUUGGGAUAACUUCAGGAAACUGGGGCUAAUACCGGAUAGGAGCUCCUGCUGCAUGGUGGGGGUUGGAAAGUUUCGGCGGUUGGGGAUGGACUCGCGGCUUAUCAGCUUGUUGGUGGGGUAGUGGCUUACCAAGGCUUUGACGGGUAGCCGGCCUGAGAGGGUGACCGGCCAAAUUGGGACUGAGAUACGGCCCAGACUCCUACGGGAGGCAGCAGUGGGGAAUAUUGCACAAUGGGCGGAAGCCUGAUGCAGCAACGCCGCGUGCGGGAUGACGGCCUGCGGGUUGUAAACCGCUUUCGCCUGUGACGAAGCGUGAGUGACGGUAAUGGGUAAAGAAGCACCGGCUAACUACGUG
This 468-nucleotide ribosomal RNA is filed under the name uncultured bacterium. Its description in RNAcentral is "partial 16S ribosomal RNA". It matches the Rfam family "Bacterial small subunit ribosomal RNA", at positions 28 to 507 of the family's 1533-position model. The record is from RNAcentral.